UCUUGAGUCAAAUGUGGCAACAAUUCUUAGAGCGGGAAGUCCCAAAGCAGUGUGCAGAGAGCGAAGGAACAAACAGAACUGUCUGGAUGGCAGCAGGUCUUAGCAGAGGUGAACACUGCGUAGAAAAUAUGUUGUUUCUUUAGCUGCAGCACUGAAGCCAAAGCCUGCCAACUUUUCACAGUACUGAGCCCNN
Molecule: unclassified non-coding RNA, 193 nt
Organism: Cavia aperea (Brazilian guinea pig)
Lineage: Eukaryota; Metazoa; Chordata; Mammalia; Rodentia; Caviidae
Source: Ensembl